This 464-nucleotide ribosomal RNA is filed under the name uncultured bacterium. Its description in RNAcentral is "partial 16S ribosomal RNA". It matches the Rfam family "Bacterial small subunit ribosomal RNA", at positions 339 to 795 of the family's 1533-position model. The record is from RNAcentral.
CUACGGGCGGCAGCAGUGGGGAAUAUUGCACAACGGGCGCAAGCCUGAUGCAGCCAUGCCGCGUGUAUGAAGAAGGCCUUCGGGUUGUAAAGUACUUUCAGCGGGGAGGAAGGGAGUAAAGUUAAUACCUUUGCUCAUUGACGUUACCCGCAGAAGAAGCACCGGCUAACUCCGUGCCAGCAGCCGCGGUAAUACGGAGGGUGCAAGCGUUAAUCGGAAUUACUGGGCGUAAAGCGCACGCAGGCGGUUUGUUAAGUCAGAUGUGAAAUCCCCGGGCUCAACCUGGGAACUGCAUCUGAUACUGGCAAGCUAGAGUCUCGUAGAGGGGGGUAGAAUUCCAGGUGUAGCGGUGAAAUGCGUAGAGAUCUGGAGGAAUACCGGUGGCGAAGGCGGCCCCCUGGACGAAGACUGACGCUCAGGUGCGAAAGCGUGGGGAGCAAACAGGAUUAGAUACCCCCGUAGUC